This 403-nucleotide ribosomal RNA is filed under the name uncultured bacterium. RNAcentral's name for it is "partial 16S ribosomal RNA". It matches the Rfam family "Bacterial small subunit ribosomal RNA", at positions 29 to 526 of the family's 1533-position model. The record is from RNAcentral.
AUUGAACGCUGGCGGCAGGCCUAACACAUGCAAGUCGAGCGAGCGGCGGACGGGUGAGUAAUGUAUGGGGACUGCCCGCUCGAGGGGGAUAACUACUGGAAACGGUGGCUAAUACCGCAUACUCUCGUAUAACCCAUAUGGGAUUGGCUAGUAGGUGGGGUAAAGGCUCACCUAGGCGACGAUCUCUGGCUGGUCUGAGAGGACGAGCAGCAACACGGGGACGGAGACACGGCACAGAUGCCUACGGAGGAAGCAGUGGGGAAUAUUGCACAAUGGGCGCAAGCCUGAGGCAGCCAUGCCGCGUGGAUGAAGAAGGCCUUAGGGUUGUAAAGUACUUUCAGCGGGGAGGCGUUACCCGAAGAGGAAGCACCGGCUAACUACGUGCCAGCAGCCGCGGUAAUAC